This 272-nucleotide signal recognition particle RNA is filed under the name Candidatus Woesearchaeota archaeon. Its description in RNAcentral is "signal recognition particle sRNA". It matches the Rfam family "Archaeal signal recognition particle RNA". Lineage: Archaea; Nanobdellati; Candidatus Woesearchaeota. The record is from RNAcentral.
CAAGAGACUAGGCUGGGUGUUUAGCUCGCACCUGUAAACUCAAAUGGGCUUUAGAGUAGCUGAAUGCUGGAGAGCGGAUUAGUUUUUAGGAUUUGGUCCUGAUAUGUUCGUCGAUCCUUUGUCCUUAUGGAUUCAUUUAUUUGUGAACCGCAUCAGGCCAGGAAUGGAGCAGUGCUAAGUAUUUAAAUGGAUGUCUUAAGGGUAGCGAAGGGGAGAAUAUGUUGGGGUUAAACCGAAUCUUGGAUUCUAAUCUCAUCUCCAGAUGUCUCUUA